CGCGUAGGCGGUUAUAAAAGUCGGAUGUGAAAUACCGGGGCUCAACCCCGGUGCUGCAUUUGAAACUUUAUGGCUAGAGUUCAGUUAGGGUAAACGGAAUUCCACGUGUAGCGGUGAAAUGCGUAGAUAUGUGGAAGAACACCGGUGGUGAAGACGGUUUACUGGGCUGAUACUGACGCUGAGGCGCGAAAGCAUGGGGAGAAC
RNAcentral lists this ribosomal RNA (204 nucleotides) under uncultured bacterium. Its description in RNAcentral is "partial 16S ribosomal RNA". It matches the Rfam family "Bacterial small subunit ribosomal RNA", at positions 568 to 771 of the family's 1533-position model. The record is from RNAcentral.